RNAcentral lists this ribosomal RNA (496 nucleotides) under uncultured bacterium. RNAcentral describes it as "partial 16S ribosomal RNA". It matches the Rfam family "Bacterial small subunit ribosomal RNA", at positions 28 to 506 of the family's 1533-position model. The record is from RNAcentral.
GAUGAACGCUGGCGGCGUGCCUAAUACAUGCAAGUCGAGCGAACGGACGAGAAGCUUGCUUUUCUGAUGUUAGCGGCGGACGGGUGAGUAACACGUGGAUAACCUACCUAUAAGACUGGGAUAACUUCGGGAAACCGGAGCUAAUACCGGAUAAUAUUUUGAACCGCAUGGUUCAAAAGUGAAAGACGGUCUUGCUGUCACUUAUAGAUGGAUCCGCGCUGCAUUAGCUAGUUGGUAAGGUAACGGCUUACCAAGGCAACGAUGCAUAGCUGACCUGAGAGGGUGAUCGGCCACACUGGAACUGAGACACGGUCCAGACUCCUACGGGAGGCAGCAGUAGGGAAUCUUCCGCAAUGGGCGAAAGCCUGACGGAGCAACGCCGCGUGAGUGAUGAAGGUCUUCGGAUCGUAAAACUCUGUUAUUAGGGAAGAACAUAUGUGUAAGUAACUGUGCACAUCUUGACGGUACCUAAUCAGAAAGCCACGGCUAACUACGU